RNAcentral lists this ribosomal RNA (434 nucleotides) under uncultured Lachnospiraceae bacterium. RNAcentral's name for it is "partial 16S ribosomal RNA". It matches the Rfam family "Bacterial small subunit ribosomal RNA", at positions 341 to 792 of the family's 1533-position model. The record is from RNAcentral. Lineage: Bacteria; Bacillati; Bacillota; Clostridia; Lachnospirales; Lachnospiraceae.
ACGGAAGGCAGCAGUGGGGAAUAUUGCACAAUGGGCGCAAGCCUGAUGCAGCGACGCCGCGUGAGCGAUGAAGUAUUUCGGUAUGUAAAGCUCUAUCAGCAGGGAAGAAAAUGACGGUACCUGACUAAGAAGCUCCGGCUAAAUACGUGCCAGCAGCCGCGGUAAUACGUAUGGAGCAAGCGUUAUCCGGAUUUACUGGGUGUAAAGGGAGCGUAGACGGAACAGCAAGUCUGAUGUGAAAGGCAGGGGCUCAACUCCUGGACUGCAUUGGAAACUGUUGAUCUUGAGUGCCGGAGAGGUAAGCGGAAUUCCUAGUGUAGCGGUGAAAUGCGUAGAUAUUAGGAGGAACACCAGUGGCGAAGGCGGCUUGCUGGACGGUAACUGACGUUGAGGCUCGAAAGCGUGGGGAGCAAACAGGAUUAGAUACCCUGGUA